UAAAUUCAAAGAUUGUCACCCCCAAUCAAACGCGCAUGUUAUCUCUUGCCUGAGCCAUCAGCCUCCACUGUGGAUAGGAUCAUUCUGCAGCGCCAUGAACCUUCUCCUGCUAGUCGGUCUGCAAGCAGUCCAAGUCGACCCCGGGUUAGGAGGUAAAGGGAGGGCAUUCUUCCUCUUCUGUGGAAAGCUUGCUUCAUAGAACUGUAUGCGAUCAUCAUAGCAGGACAGAUGGUUACUUGAAUCAAGAUCAGUUGGUUUUGUUAGACUUCUGUUUUUCUUGUAUGACACAGCCUAAGUAAGAUGAAUUGCAGUUUGUUUGAAACUUUUAUGCAUUUGCUAUCUGUAUCUCAACAAAUGCAACCUCAAAUUCCGCUUGGUGAAAACUGAAUUGCAAGCAAACCGUUAAUCUUA
Molecule: long non-coding RNA, 411 nt
Organism: Nymphaea colorata (pocket water lily)
Lineage: Eukaryota; Viridiplantae; Streptophyta; Magnoliopsida; Nymphaeales; Nymphaeaceae
Exons: 3
Source: RefSeq, a predicted model, not a curated record